UUACAGGCUUAACACAUGCAAGUCGAGGGGCAGCAUGGUCUUAGCUUGCUAAGGCCGAUGGCGACCGGCGCACGGGUGAGUAACACGUAUCCAACCUGCCGUCUACUCUUGGACAGCCUUCUGAAAGGAAGAUUAAUACAAGAUGGCAUCAUGAGUCCACAUGUUCACAUGAUUAAAGGUAUUCCGGUAGACGAUGGGGAUGCGUUCCAUUAGAUAGUAGGCGGGGUAACGGCCCACCUAGUCUUCGAUGGAUAGGGGUUCUGAGAGGAAGGUCCCCCACAUUGGAACUGAGACACGGUCCAAACUCCUACGGGAGGCAGCAGUGAGGAAUAUUGGUCAAUGGGCGAGAGCCUGAACCAGCCAAGUAGCGUGAAGGAUGACUGCCCUAUGGGUUGUAAACUUCUUUUAUAAAGGAAUAAAGUCGGGUAUGCAUACCCGUUUGCAUGUACUUUAUGAAUAAGGAUCGGCUAACUCCGUGCCAGCAGCCGCGGUAAUACGGAGGAUCCGAGCGUUAUCCGGAUUUAUUGGGUUUAAAGGGAGCGUAGAUGGAUGUUUAAGUCAGUUGUGAAAGUUUGCGGCUCAACCGUAAAAUUGCAGUUGAUACUGGAUAUCUUGAGUGCAGUUGAGGCAGGCGGAAUUCGUGGUGUAGCGGUGAAAUGCUUAGAUAUCACGAAGAACUCCGAUUGCGAAGGCAGCCUGCUAAGCUGCAACUGACAUUGAGGCUCGAAAGUGUGGGUAUCAAACAGGAUUAGAUACCCUGGUAGUCCACACGGUAAACGAUGAAUACUCGCUGUUUGCGAUAUACAGCAAGCGGCCAAGCGAAAGCGUUAAGUAUUCCACCUGGGGAGUACGCCGGCAACGGUGAAACUCAAAGGAAUUGACGGGGGCCCGCACAAGCGGAGGAACAUGUGGUUUAAUUCGAUGAUACGCGAGGAACCUUACCCGGGCUUAAAUUGCAGAUGAAUUACGGUGAAAGCCGUAAGCCGCAAGGCAUCUGUGAAGGUGCUGCAUGGUUGUCGUCAGCUCGUGCCGUGAGGUGUCGGCUUAAGUGCCAUAACGAGCGCAACCCUUGUUGUCAGUUACUAACAGGUUCUGCUGAGGACUCUGACAAGACUGCCAUCGUAAGAUGUGAGGAAGGUGGGGAUGACGUCAAAUCAGCACGGCCCUUACGUCCGGGGCUACACACGUGUUACAAUGGGGGGUACAGAGAGCCGCUACCACGCGAGUGGAUGCCAAUCCCAAAAACCUCUCUCAGUUCGGACUGGAGUCUGCAACCCGACUCCACGAAGCUGGAUUCGCUAGUAAUCGCGCAUCAGCCACGGCGCGGUGAAUACGUUCCCGGGCCUUGUACACACCGCCCGUCAAGCCAUGGGAGCCGGGGGUACCUGAAGUGCGUAACCGCGAGGAGCGCCCUAGGGUAAAACUGGUGACUGGGGCUA
This 1439-nucleotide ribosomal RNA is filed under the name uncultured organism. Its description in RNAcentral is "SSU rRNA". It matches the Rfam family "Bacterial small subunit ribosomal RNA". The record is from RNAcentral.